UCUUAAGUUGGGUUGCGCUCGGUCGCCAUCAGUCAGCGCCGGGAUGAAAGGGCUAUAAAACCAACACAGCGCCCGAGACCGUAUGAAAAUAUAUAUCCUGAUGUGUCAGGAAUACCUGGCGCGCCUUUAACCUCAACUUCAGAUGAACCAACACGCCUCGGAGCACAUUUAUAUGCAAAGGCAUAUAAUAUGUCCCCUGUAUCUAAUUAUCUGUCAACCUGAGGCAGUUUGUUUUCCAAAUCGGCCUCUCGGCUGUGACUUUACGAGGUCAUAAAGAAAACGAUGCCACUCUGCACUGAAACGCAAGGAGAGCCUGGAUCAACAAAUUAUACUCCUUAAUGGUGUCUCUCGGCCUGGAGAUUCAGGCCCGGCGGAAAGAAGGCAGCCCGGCCCUUGUUGCCUGCCCGCUGCCUUCUGCUAAAGAAAAGAGAAAGGGGCACACGGGGCACGGCUUAUUCGAGAGACUUCCUACUCUUGCUCAGCUGUCCUCGGCUCUGCAUUUCCUCCCGUGCGGUGGCUGUCUGUCUGGAAGUUGUUAGCCUGGCACCCUGCAGCGGGUGCUCCUGAGGUCUGCAGCCGCCCCUGGACUUGGCCGGUCUUGGGCCCCGGAGCAUCUUGAGCUCCUGAGAGGCCCCCCGAUCUUUGGUUCCACCGGAGAAAGCUUUGAUCCGCUCUGCACGAGACCGCUCCUGCCUGCACCGGCCCCGAGAUUCUGGUCCCAUAGGAAAGUGGGCUGGAAGAUGUUUAUUCUGCCAUGCAUCCGCCAGCAGAAGGAGUGGGGACUCCUGGAAACUUCUAAGCAAGAGAAGAAAAUUCCUCCUCCCAAAGCAGGGAAGAUAUGUUCUCGGGCCCCAGGCUGCCCUGCCCAACUGAGAUGCUCCUCCUUUUCCAAUUCAACAGGUGAACUCCCAGUCAACCUUCAGAUCUCAAGUAUCACUUCCUCAGGGAAGCCUUCUCUGAUUUCCCUAAUUUGAUCAAAUGCUACUAUUUGAUGCUCUCAUAGGAUGAGGUAACACUCUUUGGCAUUUCUACAGCUCUCACCUUUACAUGACUUCUGUGAUUCUUUCAUAUAUGCUCCACGACGGUGAAGGCGCAACUUUUCGUUUGCUUAUAUUUAUUUACUGUGACUGACACAAAAUGGCCCUCAAAUACCUUUAGAUGAAUGAGUGUUACAUUUGUAUGUGCGUUAUCGCACACCUGCCCAAAAUGCGGUCCCGGUCAUGCUGUGCAGGCCUCCAAUCUCUCCCUGUCCACUUAGUUUUCUCUGUCUUUACCCACACCUCUUCUUGCUUUGUGCUUCCACUAAGCCUUACCGGGCACAAGGAAGGAAUGUCUGUUUGAAGAGCUUAUCAUUCCACGGGAGGAGAAAGCCAGAUGAAAUGGGACCAGACCUGAAAGACACUGAAGAUAACCCAGAGGGGCGGGACGACCACUCUCCCACCCCGUCACGACUAUAUAGGGAAACCAGGAGCGCAGAGGCCGUGCUCAUUCAUUCUGUAUCUUAUUAACUCAUGACGAGAAGGCCAUCACACAAAAGGUGUUUGGUUUUAUGCGCCAAAUGCCUUUGGUUUUAUGGAGCCAGAAACCAUUCUGGAGAACGAUGGUGAACGGGAAGUGGGCUCCGGGAAGGGGGAGGGGCAGGUGCCCCACGCACCUGUUGCACAGCUUCGCGAGGCCGAACCGUGCUUGGAGAGGCCAGACCGAUCCAGCAGACACGGAUCCGGCAGCCCUGCACUCCAGUCCCUCAGCCGCCCGGUCCUCCAAACAGACCUGGCAGAGACCCCACGAGGCCGUCUUCUGACCGCCAUCCGCCUUUGCUGCAAACACAGGUUCUUCCAAGCUGGCCUCUCCGCAGACGGUACUCCUUAGGCUCUUUUUCAUUUCUGUCAGGAAAUAAAAUGGCCGAGAAGAUACCCUUAGACUCCUUUGCCACCAGCGCACCCCUCUGAAGGACAAGCACCGGCCUGGGAGCUGCCGCCUAGCCGGCAGAGGCUCACUCUCCAGCCCAGGACGGGGAGAGCGAGGCUCAGCGCAGCAUUGCUGUUUUCCCUUCACUGGGUCGGUAAACAUUCUGGCCAUUUUGAAGUAUUAUUUCCCCCUUUAGGACAAUGUACUUGGGUUUGGGUUCUUUUCGCUUUGUUUAUGCAGUAAUGUUUCCAGCAAGAGGGAUGCACCUGUUCCACAGGCCCAUUAGACUCCGAAUUGCUUCUCCCUGAGCAGAGGCAUGGAGGAAAGACGGCCUUGGCACUCACAGCACACUGCGGAGGAAGACAGGGCGUCCGUGUCGCAAAGACCAAGCUGUAACCUUGAGCCACAAGCCAAGUGGCUGGGCGCUGGGAGAGGGAGGCGGGUGGUGCCCGGAAGAAGCUGAGGCUUAGCGAGGGAGGGAGGGGACAUGCCCAAGGUCACGCUGCCAAUUAGUCGGGAAGUUGGAGUCACGGCCACAGAAAGCCGGUCUGUCUGACUCCAAGCCCGCACUCUCCCCCGAGCUGUUAUGUCUUGGAGCUGCCUGAGGAAAGGGAGAGGUGGGGAGACAGGAGGGCAGCCUUUCCAGCAGUCACAGGCCUGUGCCCCCACAGCUAAGGGCUGUCUUUGUAUCUUAUCUCCACGCGAAGGAGGCCCCCACAGGGCUGCUUACAGAGUACUUGGGAGGGGUGAGAGAGGGAGGGAAGUGAACGGGGUGGUCCCUCUAACUCAUUCUGGAAGCUUCCUCCAGCUCUGAGGCCCAUCAGUUGCUCCAGUUCCUCCUCCCACGUCUCCCUCCUGCAGAAAAGACCAAGGGCAUCCUGACCGGGGGUGGGAAGGAUGGAAUCACACGCCCCCCACUCGGGCCUCCAGCAUCCAAGGCGCCCCAUGUUGGAGGUGGUGGGGGGAGACUGCUCCAUAGGCUUGCAGGGUCUUUUGUUUGGAGUGUCAGAGCCACAGCUCAACACAGAAGCUGCUCCUGGGCCCCGGUGACUUACUUUGUCAUCUGCCGCCUCUUGUGCAGGUGUGUGUAUUUUAGCUGGAGGAGCCCAGGCAUGGAAAUCGCUCUCCCUGUGCCCAUAUAUUAUCAGUAUUUUUUAACAUGUCGCUUUCCAAGCAGGUAAUGCAUUUGCAGAGACAGUGAUCUUUCAUCGGGAGAUUACGAUGAUUUGUGUUCUCUGUCUAAAUUCCAGCAUAAAUUUCAGAGCCAGCGAGGCAUUGGCUUGUGGCAAGAGCUGCGUUCUGAGAUGUGGCAGGCUAUCUGCGCACACCUCAGGCUCGCAGCCAUUCGUCCUGAUUAGGGAAAGGCUUUGAAAUUCUUCUUUGUGCCUCACCUUCUUUAUUUUUUCCAAAUUGCUCUUCCAGCAGGUCACCUUGGCAGCUGGUGGCAAGCCUCAAGUUACGUUGGCCAGGCUGGUCCCAAGCAGAGCAUUUACGCAACUCAACCUCUAGAACUCCUGGUUCUGCUGAAAUUAGCAGGGUGGCUUGGGUCAAGUCACAUAAGCCUCCGGGCUUCAGUUUCCUCGUCAAUAAAUUGGAAUUUGUAAUCCCAAAUUCACAGGGUUAAUAGGACGAUUAAAUACAAGAGCACAAAGGAGAAGUCCUCCCGAGGAGGAGGGACUCAGAAGACUAGGAAGACGGUCCCCUCGAUCAGCUCCAGUUCUCUGAGUGGGUGAUCUGAAAUUUCCCGAGGUGUCUCUAAUAAGAUGGCUAUUAAAUCA
Molecule: long non-coding RNA, 3686 nt
Organism: Prionailurus viverrinus (fishing cat)
Lineage: Eukaryota; Metazoa; Chordata; Mammalia; Carnivora; Felidae
Exons: 2
Source: RefSeq, a predicted model, not a curated record